UACGUAGGGUGCGAGCGUUGUCCGGAAUUAUUGGGCGUAAAGAGCUCGUAGGCGGUUUGUUGCGUCGGCUGUGAAAUCCCGAGGCUCAACCUCGGGUCUGCAGUCGAUACGAGCAAACUAGAGUGUUGCAGGGGAGACUGGAAUUCCUGGUGUAGCGGUGAAAUGCGCAGAUAUCAGGAGGAACACCGGUGGCGAAGGCGGGUCUCUGGGACGUUACUGACGCUGAGACGCGAAAGCGUGGGGAGCAAACAGG
This 253-nucleotide ribosomal RNA is filed under the name uncultured bacterium. RNAcentral describes it as "partial 16S ribosomal RNA". It matches the Rfam family "Bacterial small subunit ribosomal RNA", at positions 524 to 776 of the family's 1533-position model. The record is from RNAcentral.